Molecule: ribosomal RNA, 468 nt
Filed under: uncultured bacterium
Lineage: Bacteria
Description: partial 16S ribosomal RNA
Rfam family: Bacterial small subunit ribosomal RNA
Source: RNAcentral
GACGAACGCUGGCGGCGUGCUUAACACAUGCAAGUCGAACGGAAAGGCCCUGCUUUUGUGGGGUGCUCGAGUGGCGAACGGGUGAGUAACACGUGAGUAACCUGCCCUUGACUUUGGGAUAACUUCAGGAAACUGGGGCUAAUACCGGAUAGGAGCUCCUGCUGCAUGGUGGGGGUUGGAAAGUUUCGGCGGUUGGGGAUGGACUCGCGGCUUAUCAGCUUGUUGGUGGGGUAGUGGCUUACCAAGGCUUUGACGGGUAGCCGGCCUGAGAGGGUGACCGGCCACAUUGGGACUGAGGUACGCCCCAGACUCCUACGGGAGGCAGCAGUGGGGAAUAUUGCAGAAUGGGCGGAAGCCUGAUGCAGCAACGCCGCGUGCGGGAUGACGGCCUUCGGGUUGUAAACCGCUUUCGCCUGUGACGAAGCGUGAGUGACGGUAAUGGGUAAAGAAGCACCGGCUAACUACGUG